Long non-coding RNA from Strigops habroptila (Kakapo), 1553 nucleotides. The record is from Ensembl. Lineage: Eukaryota; Metazoa; Chordata; Aves; Psittaciformes; Psittacidae.
GUUAUAUAAAUAUUUAUUUGUACUAAAAGUGAGUGUUUUGUAGCAGAGUAUCAAGUUCAGAAUAUAUUAAAUCAUGAGAUGCAUCACUUGAUGCAAAUUCCAGUCUCAUGCCUUUAAUAAAUAUGCUAUAAAAAAAACUAGUCCACAUACUCUAUUUGGAUCAGAGGUAAUCAGUACUCUACACUAUUUUAAAAGGAUAAUAUAACAUUUGUGUUUUGCUGUAACCAUUCGGAUUUGGGGGGGGGGUUUAACCGUUUGAUUAUUUUAUGAUGAGUGGCAACAGCACUAUGUCACUACUUAAAAAUGACAAAUAUUGCAAUCAUAAAUGGGAGUAUUGCUUUUGUCUUCCAGGUCCCUGCCAGAGGGCCUGAGUGUAAAAGGCACUGGUGCUAGUGUGUGCUUUCAGCUACUAACAUGAGUGUUGCAGCAUUUUUCUUGAGGUAUAAUACAGGUUUGGGCUCUUUGCUCCCAAUACUUUAAAAAAUUAUGAAAAAAUAACUCCAAAAGAGUUGACAAAUGAAAAAAGGUUUUUUGCAAAAGUAUUCCCAAUUACAUAGUCUUGGACACUGUACCAUGGCCACAGCAAAACAGGUUUUAGCUUGCAGCGUAGCUCACUAUCCUAAGUUACAAGCAGAAGCAUGAUUGUUCUUACUGAGUGUAGCUCCAUUUGUAAUUAAAACUGAAGUACAAGAAAAGGAAAGCGCUAUUUCCAUGUCAUUUGAAACACAUUCUGACUGGUCCUGGGGCAUCUACCAAGAAAAGAUGGGUACAAGAAGUAUCCAUUCAGUUUGCUGCAGUAACCAAGUGCAUAGCUGUCUUUCCCCAAGUAAAAACCUCACACCUGAGUGUGGCGGCUGGGGAGCCAGCAUGCUCCUUGCUGCCAGCACAGCGGGGCUGCAGGAUCAGCCCUUUCCCUGGGAAAGCCAGUGCAGGCAGGACACUGAGGCCCAGGCAGGGGCAGGAGGUGGCUGAGGGGCUCCCAGCCAUGCAGGGCUUUGUGCUCGAACCUCAGCCACCACGGAGACACACACCAGUCCCAGCAGCACGUGCCUGCGGUGAGACACAAGUGGGGCCAGGUAAAGCUCCGGUGUGCAGUCACGCCACUCAGCCCUGCUGGAGGUCACUGCAAGUGCUGCAGGUCAGCAAAAAAGCCAACACAGCAGCAAAACCAGUGUCAGAGGGGGUGGCUGGGAAAAAAGGUAAGGGCUGCUGUAACUUUCCACCAGCUAGAGCUGGGAGCAGCACCAGCCACUGGCGCUCUCUCUGUGUGAGAGAUGAUGGCUCAGCACCAUCACCCCUCACACAGCAGCACCCCAUGCAGAUGGGGGUGGAUCGUAAGGACUUCUCUCCAUCCUCCGCCAUCCCCCCACCAGAGCCAGCAUCAGCAGCCCACAGGUACAAACGAAAUCAGGUCACCUGUACCCAUGUGGGAUUACGGGUACAGAUGAAGGCAAGUGCUUGAGCCAUCUCCUGCCUGGUUUAAGAAGUACAGCCUCUUGGACCCACCUCACACUGUGAUCUUGCUGUUUUGCCUUUAAUUUGCCUUUCAGAUG